CAAUUCUACAUGUUUUGAAACUAAUUAUUCAUAGUAAAUUCUCAUUAAUACUUUAUAUAAAGAGAAAAUUCAAGUGUUAGAGGCUCUACUGACUUCUCUAAGAGGAUGUGAAAGGUUUCUGAUAGUGAAUCAUAACCCUAAGAGAGAUGUAUGUGGCAAAAGUAUAGUGUAUAAUAAGAUCAGCGGGUUUUUUAUAAGGCAUACAGUCUGUAAAUUGAUAGAUGUCCCUGUGUUACAGAAUGUAGUGUUGAGCUUGCAAAGAAUAAGCCAUUCUUGGAAUAUUUGUGUACAACUGUUGCUUAUCUCAGUAUCACUGUGUUAGUGCUCUU
Molecule: long non-coding RNA, 329 nt
Filed under: Bos taurus (domestic cattle)
Lineage: Eukaryota; Metazoa; Chordata; Mammalia; Artiodactyla; Bovidae
Description: long non-coding RNA NONBTAT010639
Source: RNAcentral